GAAAUGCGAUAAGUAAUGUGAAUUGCAGAAUUCAGUGAAUCAUCGAAUCUUUGAACGCACAUUGCGCCCGCCAGUAUUCUGGCGGGCAUGCCUGUCCGAGCGUCAUUUCAACCCUCGAACCCCUCCGGGGGGUCGGCGUUGGGGAUCGGCCCUUUACGGGGCCGGCCCCGAAAUACAGUGGCGGUCUCGCCGCAGCCUCUCCUGCGCAGUAGUUUGCACACUCGCAUCGGGAGCGCGGCGCGUCCAUUGCCGUAAAACACCCAACUUUCUGAAAUGUUGACCUCGGAUCAGGUAGGAAUACCCGCUGAACUUAA
This 314-nucleotide unclassified non-coding RNA is filed under the name uncultured Trichoderma. RNAcentral describes it as "sequence contains ITS1". The stretch from base 1 to 105 matches the Rfam family "5.8S ribosomal RNA", at positions 50 to 154 of the family's 154-position model. Lineage: Eukaryota; Fungi; Ascomycota; Sordariomycetes; Hypocreales; Hypocreaceae. The record is from RNAcentral.